RNAcentral lists this ribosomal RNA (256 nucleotides) under uncultured bacterium. RNAcentral's name for it is "partial 16S ribosomal RNA". It matches the Rfam family "Bacterial small subunit ribosomal RNA", at positions 524 to 776 of the family's 1533-position model. The record is from RNAcentral.
UACGAAGGGUGCAAGCGUUACUCGGAAUUACUGGGCGUAAAGCGUGCGUAGGUGGUGAGUUAAGUCUGAUGUGAAAUCCCCGGGCUCAACCUGGGAAUGGCAUUGGAUACUGGCUCGCUAGAGUGCGGUAGAGGGUGGUGGAAUUCCCCGGUGUAGCAGUGAAAUGCGUAGAGAUCGGGAGGAACAUCUGUGGCGAAGGCGGCCACCUGGGACCAACACUGACACCUGAGGCACGAAAGCGUGGGGAGCAAACAGG